Small nucleolar RNA from Elgaria multicarinata webbii, 77 nucleotides. RefSeq annotates it as small nucleolar RNA SNORD83. The transcript has a single exon. NCBI's taxonomy places the organism in Eukaryota, Metazoa, Chordata, Lepidosauria, Squamata, Anguidae. The record is from RefSeq and is a predicted model, not a curated record.
GCCAAAUGAUGUCAAAGCAGACUUCAUGAGCACUCUGUGCCAAGAUGACUCCGAUCUAUCACCCAAGACUGAUGGCU